This is a long non-coding RNA of Lynx canadensis (Canada lynx), 1938 nucleotides long. RefSeq lists it as uncharacterized. Lineage: Eukaryota; Metazoa; Chordata; Mammalia; Carnivora; Felidae. The transcript is spliced from 4 exons. The record is from RefSeq and is a predicted model, not a curated record.
AGAAGAGUCCGACCGGCCACUCUUGGAGGUCUUGUUCAAAACUCCCUUCCUGGGCACGCUUCCCGUGACUUCCUAGCGCAACCAGGCACCCCUUCCGUACCAAUGAGUGUGACGUCAUGGAUGGAUGACUAGAUGGAGAGGAUGGUGAUGGAUGAAGAAACAGAACGGCUGGCUGCCCCCCUAGACUCAUCAGACCGGCUGCGAGUGGCACCUGUCACCCACCGUGCCUGUGCCUCGCUGUCGCUUCUGCCCGUGAAUUCUUAAACCAGCCUUCCCAGGCCUGCACCCAUGCCCACCUUACUUAGCAGUUCCCAGCAGUGCCCCGUCCACACUUCUUCACAGAAUAGACCUUCAGUCAAUGCUGUUGACACACCUUUUGAUGUGUUUGAAAACGAAGAGUGAAGAUUCCUGAGCCAGGUUGCCACAGAGAAGGGCCUAGAGAAUAAAGUGCUUCUGAAUGGCUCCAUCCGAGGCAUAUCUGAAGACAGAAAAUUCCAAAGGCUUUCCCGGACGGCCUCUAGGAUGGGCUCUAUUAUUAACCUCCUGCGCGAGGCCGAGCUUCUCCCUGGCCUUGCGUGACUGAAAUGAGCUUCUCCCGGGCUCACGCCGUGGCUUUGUGGGCCACAACCACUUCCUAGAAGCCAAGUUCAUCUGAGAAAUGAGGGAGGCCCUGGUGGUUUGUGGUUACAGAAGGCGUUUCCUUUGACACUCAGCUGGGGGAAGGACAAGCAAUCCACAGCAGGCCCGAGAGAAGGGGAGCAGAGCCUGCUUUGGGAUGUCCAGAGGGCGUCCAACCCUUCUAGCAAGAAGAGCCCUCCCCUGCAUCAAGUGCUUAUUGGGGGGUAGGGGGGCAAAGGCCCUGAGACACCGGCAGCCACCUCGGGGGUGUCCCCGGUAUUCAGAGGGUGUCAGAGAAAGGACAGUGCAGGCCUGCUGAGAAGUGAGCUGUGUCCUUUGGAAUUGCUGAGUGGUCAUGGAGGGGUAGGGGUGGGGUGGAUGAGAGACAGACGACAGGUGUAUAACCAAAAUGCAACUCAGCCUGUAGACAAUUCCCAGCCUGUGGACAGUGUCUAAGCAUGUCCUACCAUCCACCCUUUUGAGAAGGGUCCUCCCAGCCCCGUUCACGAAAGACGAGGCUGACACUCGCACCCUCCAGGAUAAACGCUCCUGACAGCAGAGAGCCACAGCCCUCCACGACUGCCAGAGUGAGUGGAGGCCUCUCACAGCGUGAUCUCAAGGCUCUGGGCAAACCUCCCAGCUUAUUAAAAAAAAAAAAAAAAAAUUAAUUUUCCCAUGAAUCGGAUAAUACCUGAAAUUCCAUCAUCGCUUUGCCUGAGGCUUAAACGUCUGGAAAAAUACAAACACGUAGGGGGAGCACUCCAAAUAGUAUCAUUUACACCUCAAUGUCUGGAACCCUUCUGGAUCCUCUCCUGCCCGCAGGUUUCCUGAGGGGCGGGGCUGGAGCAGGGGAGAGAGCCAGAGAGUCAUGGGUGACUGAGGUAGGAGGAGGCCUGGAGGGGCGGAGGAAGGGGCGCAGGCUGGAAACCAGCUCCUAAACAAACUGGCCCUGCACAGUUUUGCCUGGGGCCACCCCGCAAGUCACUGUCGGAUUCACUCACUGUUGCUGAGCUCUAGAGAAAUCGGGCACCGGCCUCUCCCAGCAGGGCCCGCGUCUUGGGCACAGGCCCGCAUCGUGGCUCAGGGCCUCCGCACUCAGAAGGGCCCCGCGCUUGUGUGGUUUAAUGCUUUGUUACCACCAUCUUGAAGAUUGUAUUAAAUGUUUUUUUUAUUAUUCAUUUUUGAGAGAGAGAGUGCACAAGCGGGCGAGGGACGGAGACACAGGGGGACAGCGGAUCCCAAGCGGCCUGUGCACUGACAGCAGAGAGCCCGUUGCGGGACUUGAACUCAGGAACCGUGAGAUCGUGACCUGAGUCGAAG